GCACAAGCGGGGAGCAAGUGGUUUUAAUUGGUGCAACGCGAAGGAAUUACCUGGUUUGACAUGUGAGAACUUUCCAGAAGAUGAUUUGUGCCUUCGGGAACUCGAACACAGGUGCUGCAUGGCUGUCGUCAGCUCGGUUCGAGGAUUGGGUUAAGUCCCGCAACGAGCGCAAACCUUUCCCUAGUUUCAGCACGUAAUGGGGGAACUUAAGGGAGCGCCGGUGACAAACCGGAGGAAGGUGGGGAUGACGUCAAGUCAUCAUGGCCUUGACCAGGGUACCCAUAUACAAAGGUAGGGACAGAGGGUGCAAAACCGCGAGGGCAAACAAUUCCAGAAACCUUUUCAUCC
RNAcentral lists this ribosomal RNA (348 nucleotides) under bacterium enrichment culture DGGE gel band A15. RNAcentral describes it as "bacterial SSU rRNA". It matches the Rfam family "Bacterial small subunit ribosomal RNA", at positions 923 to 1291 of the family's 1533-position model. The record is from RNAcentral.